RNAcentral lists this ribosomal RNA (416 nucleotides) under uncultured bacterium. RNAcentral's name for it is "bacterial SSU rRNA". It matches the Rfam family "Bacterial small subunit ribosomal RNA", at positions 340 to 749 of the family's 1533-position model. The record is from RNAcentral.
UACGGGAGGCAGCAGUGGGGAAUAUUGCACAAUGGGCGCAAGCCUGAUGCAGCCAUGCCGCGUGUAUGAAGAAGGCCUUCGGGUUGUAAAGUACUUUCAGUCGUGAGGAAGGUGUUAAGGUUAAUAACCUUAGCAAUUGACGUUAGCGACAGAAGAAGCACCGGCUAACUCCGUGCCAGCAGCCGCGGUAAUACGGAGGGUGCGAGCGUUAAUCGGAAUUACUGGGCGUAAAGGGCACGCAGGCGGUUAAUUAAGUUGGAUGUGAAAUCCCCGGGCUUAACCUGGGAAUGGCAUUCAAGACUGGUUAGCUAGAGUCUUGUAGAGGGGGUUAGAAUUCCAUGUGUAGCGGUGAAACUGCGUAGAGAUGUGGAGGAAUACCGGUGGCGAAGGCGGCCCCUGGACAAAGCUGACGCUCA